AUUGGUAGAGGCGCGGGGCUCAUGAGUAGCCUGCGGCACCGGCCCGGCAAGGCCGCCGCAGGGGAAAGGGAUCCCCGCCGAAGAAAACGGAGGCUUGCCGGCCGCCGGAUUCUGGGCCGUCGCAGAAGAUGCGCCGGACUGUCACGAACCCCUCGUGGAGCGCUAUC
RNAcentral lists this non-coding RNA (167 nucleotides) under uncultured Gemmiger sp. Its description in RNAcentral is "Lysine riboswitch". It matches the Rfam family "Lysine riboswitch aptamer". From Rfam's summary of the family: Riboswitches are metabolite binding domains within certain messenger RNAs that serve as precision sensors for their corresponding targets. Allosteric rearrangement of mRNA structure is mediated by ligand binding, and this results in modulation of gene expression. This family includes riboswitches that sense lysine in a number of genes involved in lysine metabolism, including lysC. The record is from RNAcentral. Lineage: Bacteria; Bacillati; Bacillota; Clostridia; Eubacteriales; Oscillospiraceae.